Molecule: ribosomal RNA, 497 nt
Filed under: uncultured bacterium
Lineage: Bacteria
Description: partial 16S ribosomal RNA
Rfam family: Bacterial small subunit ribosomal RNA
Source: RNAcentral
GAUGAACGCUGGCGGCGUGCCUAAUACAUGCAAGUCGAGCGAACGGACGUGAAGCUUGCUUCUCUGAUGUUAGCGGCGGACGGGUGAGUAACACGUGGAUAACCUACCUAUAAGACUGGGAUAACUUCGGGAAACCGGAGCUAAUACCGGAUAAUAUCUUGAACCGCAUGGUUCAAAAGUGAAAGACGGUCUUGCUGUCACUUAUAGAUGGAUCCGCGCUGCAUUAGCUAGUUGGUAAGUUAACGGCUUACCAAGGCAACGAUGCUUAGCCAACCUGAGAGGUUGAUCGCCAACACUGGAACGGAAACAGGGUCCAGACUCCGACGGGAGGCAGCAGUAGGGAAUCUUCCGCAAGGGGGGAAAGCCUGACGGAGCAACGCCGCGUGGGUGAUGAAGGUCUUCGGAUCGUAAAACUCUGUUAUUAGGGAAGAACAUAUGUGGAAGUAACUGUGCACAUCUUGACGGUACCUAAUCAGAAAGCCACGGCUAACUACGUG